GCCCUUUAAUUUUCUUAUACACUACCUAUAUGGGACUUAUUCCCAAAAAUGAUAUUCCAAUACUGCCCCUCAAGUGGCAAUCGAGACAAUUGAUUGACACUUGAAACUGAAACGCAACGGUAACACUGGAAAAUUAAACUGAAACCAAAACCGGACCAGGCUAUAAGCUAAACUGGGCUUGAAACUAGGCUCUUCAUCACCAAAAUGGCCCAUUUUGGUUAGGUUUGCCAACACUUAUAUACCCUUUAAUUUU
RNAcentral lists this unclassified non-coding RNA (253 nucleotides) under Hevea brasiliensis (rubber tree). Lineage: Eukaryota; Viridiplantae; Streptophyta; Magnoliopsida; Malpighiales; Euphorbiaceae. The record is from RNAcentral.